UGAGGAAUAUUGGUCAAUGGGCGAGAGCCUGAACCAGCCAAGUCGCGUGAAGGAUGAAGGUUCUAUGGAUUGUAAACUUCUUUUAUUCGAGGGUAAAGUGAGGUACGUGUACCUUAUUGCAAGUAUCGAAUGAAUAAGCAUCGGCUAACUCCGUGCCAGCAGCCGCGGUAAUACGGAGGAUGCGAGCGUUAUCCGGAUUUAUUGGGUUUAAAGGGUGCGUAGGCGGAUUAUUAAGUCAGCGGUGAAAGCGUGUGGCUCAACCAUACAGUUGCCGUUGAUACUGGUAGUCUUGAGUGUAAACGAGGUAGGCGGAAUGUGAUGUGUAGCGGUG
Molecule: ribosomal RNA, 331 nt
Filed under: uncultured Porphyromonadaceae bacterium
Lineage: Bacteria; Pseudomonadati; Bacteroidota; Bacteroidia; Bacteroidales; Porphyromonadaceae
Description: bacterial SSU rRNA
Rfam family: Bacterial small subunit ribosomal RNA
Source: RNAcentral